This 230-nucleotide ribosomal RNA is filed under the name uncultured bacterium. RNAcentral describes it as "partial 16S ribosomal RNA". It matches the Rfam family "Bacterial small subunit ribosomal RNA", at positions 562 to 791 of the family's 1533-position model. The record is from RNAcentral.
AAAGCGUGCGCAGGCGGUUAUAUAAGACAGAUGUGAAAUCCCCGGGCUCAACCUAGGAACUGCAUUUGUGACUGUAUAGCUGGAGUGCGGCAGAGGGGGAUGGAAUUCCGCGUGUAGCAGUGAAAUGCGUAGAUAUGCGGAGGAACACCGAUGGCGAAGGCAAUCCCCUGGGCCUGCACUGACGCUCAUGCACGAAAGCGUGGGGAGCAAACAGGAUUAGAUACCCCGGU